This 1370-nucleotide ribosomal RNA is filed under the name uncultured bacterium. Its description in RNAcentral is "16S ribosomal RNA". It matches the Rfam family "Bacterial small subunit ribosomal RNA", at positions 28 to 1378 of the family's 1533-position model. The record is from RNAcentral.
GAUGAACGCUGGCGGCGUGCCUAAUACAUGCAAGUCGAGCGAACGGACGAGAAGCUUGCUUCUCUGAUGUUAGCGGCGGACGGGUGAGUAACACGUGGAUAACCUACCUAUAAGACUGGGAUAACUUCGGGAAACCGGAGCUAAUACCGGAUAAUAUUUUGAACCGCAUGGUUCAAAAGUGAAAGACGGUCUUGCUGUCACUUAUAGAUGGAUCCGCGCUGCAUUAGCUAGUUGGUAAGGUAACGGCUUACCAAGGCAACGAUGCAUAGCCGACCUGAGAGGGUGAUCGGCCACACUGGAACUGAGACACGGUCCAGACUCCUACGGGAGGCAGCAGUAGGGAAUCUUCCGCAAUGGGCGAAAGCCUGACGGAGCAACGCCGCGUGAGUGAUGAAGGUCUUCGGAUCGUAAAACUCUGUUAUUAGGGAAGAACAUAUGUGUAAGUAACUGUGCACAUCUUGACGGUACCUAAUCAGAAAGCCACGGCUAACUACGUGCCAGCAGCCGCGGUAAUACGUAGGUGGCAAGCGUUAUCCGGAAUUAUUGGGCGUAAGCGCGCGUAGGCGGUUUUUUAAGUCUGAUGUGAAAGCCCACGGCUCAACCGUGGAGGGUCAUUGGAAACUGGAAAACUUGAGUGCAGAAGAGGAAAGUGGAAUUCCAUGUGUAGCGGUGAAAUGCGCAGAGAUAUGGAGGAACACCAGUGGCGAAGGCGACUUUCUGGUCUGUAACUGACGCUGAUGUGCGAAAGCGUGGGGAUCAAACAGGAUUAGAUACCCUGGUAGUCCACGCCGUAAACGAUGAGUGCUAAGUGUUAGGGGGUUUCCGCCCCUUAGUGCUGCAGCUAACGCAUUAAGCACUCCGCCUGGGGAGUACGACCGCAAGGUUGAAACUCAAAGGAAUUGACGGGGACCCGCACAAGCGGUGGAGCAUGUGGUUUAAUUCGAAGCAACGCGAAGAACCUUACCAAAUCUUGACAUCCUUUGACAACUCUAGAGAUAGAGCCUUCCCCUUCGGGGGACAAAGUGACAGGUGGUGCAUGGUUGUCGUCAGCUCGUGUCGUGAGAUGUUGGGUUAAGUCCCGCAACGAGCGCAACCCUUAAGCUUAGUUGCCAUCAUUAAGUUGGGCACUCUAAGUUGACUGCCGGUGACAAACCGGAGGAAGGUGGGGAUGACGUCAAAUCAUCAUGCCCCUUAUGAUUUGGGCUACACGCGUGCUACAAUGGACAAUACAAAGGGCAGGGAAACCGCGAGGUCAAGCAAAUCCCAUAAAGUUGUUCCUCAGUUCGGAAUUGUAGUUUGCAACUCGACUACAUGAAGAUGGAAUCGCUAGUAAUCGUAGAUCAGCAUGCUACGGUGAAUACGUUCCCGGG